UCUAAUUGUAUGAUAAGUUGGACUCUUUGUAAAACAAAACACUGAAACCUAAACAAAAUAUAUCCACGAUUCCAAACCAACGAUUCUAAAAAAUUUGACAAUUUCCUAAUUCAGCAAAGACGAAACAUUUCGAAUUCGUUGUUGAUUUACAUUGGAGGCUCUUCUCUCUUAGCUAUUCUCAUCAAUUGUUUCGCUUGCAGUGUUGCUCCUGUUGUCAAUUUCAAUAGGAUUCAAGGCUUCAAUUAGAGUUGAGAUCAUUUAAAAUCUGCUCGUUGGAAUAUAUUUUCUUGCUAACAAGUUUUGAGGUAGUGCAGGUUGCGCCUCUUCAGUUCUUGCAUUCACUCCUUGCUUUUCUUGGCGAGUUUAUUACCAGUGUUACAUAGUCUCAAAUCAUCUCGGGAUACUAGUCCAUCAUCAAUGCCAUCUUGGAACUAAAGCACCUGUUAAAGGUUUUGGUAGAUUUUGCAUCAAACUUCAGAUAUUCUUUCAACAAGAGUAGAAGUAGUUGUUCUUUUUAUUUAAUUUGUCAUAUGAAUCAGUUGUUUUUAUUUGGUAAUACAAAUUAUAGCUCAUUCUCUAUAGCUCAUUGGGAA
Mercurialis annua (annual mercury) is the source of this 593-nucleotide long non-coding RNA. RefSeq lists it as uncharacterized. Lineage: Eukaryota; Viridiplantae; Streptophyta; Magnoliopsida; Malpighiales; Euphorbiaceae. The record is from RefSeq and is a predicted model, not a curated record. The transcript is spliced from 3 exons.